CAGAGAAGGAGACAACCAAGAGCUGUGAAUCUGGAGAAGCUGACACUGAUAGUGCCCAUCCCACACGUCCAGAAAGAAGUGAGGAAGCUUACAGCAUGGAUGGUACACAGCGGUGAUGUCUGCUGACACACAGUCAUGUGGGGCACAGUGAAGCUUGUGCCAGUGACAACCACAAGAAGAGGUGUGUGCUCGGAUGGUUUCAGAAGGCUGUCUGCACUGAGAGGAAGCCACACGUGCAGGAAGACUCCACAGGAACCCCACUGAGCUUAAACUACCUGGAGACCACAGGGCUGAGGGUAGAGCAGCAAUCAUGCUCAGCAGGACACCUGAGGCCUCCUCCAGCCAGAACGAUCCAUCACUCCCAGCC
Pezoporus flaviventris is the source of this 367-nucleotide long non-coding RNA. RefSeq lists it as uncharacterized. The transcript has 4 exons. The record is from RefSeq and is a predicted model, not a curated record. Lineage: Eukaryota; Metazoa; Chordata; Aves; Psittaciformes; Psittacidae.